Molecule: unclassified non-coding RNA, 414 nt
Filed under: uncultured Graphium
Lineage: Eukaryota; Fungi; Ascomycota; Sordariomycetes; Microascales; Graphiaceae
Description: sequence contains ITS1
Rfam family: 5.8S ribosomal RNA (bases 1-105)
Source: RNAcentral
GAAAUGCGAUAACUAAUGUGAAUUGCAGAUUUCAGUGAAUCAUCGAGUCUUUGAACGCAAGUGGCACUUCGGGGCAUGCCUCGGAGUAUACCUGUUCGAGCGUCGCCAUAUUCCUCAACACCCAACCAAGAACCCCCCUUUGCGGGGUUUUUUCUUGGGUCGUUGGACGAUGUCUGUUGGAGGCGCCCCGCGCCCUCCAUCAGUGAUCAAAGUCAUUCCCUGGCACUCGGCACACCCUCCGAGGAGCAUCUCUCGCAAUGUGGUAAGGACCUCCACGCGUCCCGUACACCAUUGUGGGUGCUCCGCUCGAGGAGGGACGGCCGGGAAUCGUGCCGCUGGGUCACCAACCCCACACACGGAACAAAAAAAUCCACACACGACCUCGAAUCAGGCAAGGCUACCCGCUGAAUUUAA